CCUUGGCGGUCUCAGAGAGUUUGAUUAUGGCUCAGGAUGAACGCUGGCGGCGUGCCUAAUACAUGCAAGUCGAACGAGGGUGCUUGCACCCUAGUGGCGAACGGGUGAGUAACACGUAGGUAACCUGCCUUUUAGCUUGGGAUACCCAGAGGAAACUUUGGCUAAUACCGGAUAACAACAGAUGAGGCAUCUCAACUGUUUGAAAGGCCCUUAUGGGGUCACUAAAAGAUGGACCUGCGGCGCAUUAGCUAGUUGGUGAGAUAACAGCCCACCAAGGCGAGGAUGCGUAGCCGACCUGAGAGGGUGAUCGGCCACAUUGGAACUGAGACACGGUCCAAACUCCUACGGGAGGCAGCAGUAAGGAGUUUUCGGCAAUGGGGGAAACCCUGACCGAGCAACGCCGCGUGAGCGAAUGACGGCCCUAUGGGUUGUAAAGCUCUGUUGUGAGGGACGAACUGUAAGCUUAGGAAAUGAAGCUUACCUGACGGUACCUUACCAGAAAGCCACGGCUAACUACGUGCCAGCCGCAGC
This 531-nucleotide ribosomal RNA is filed under the name uncultured bacterium. Its description in RNAcentral is "bacterial SSU rRNA". It matches the Rfam family "Bacterial small subunit ribosomal RNA", at positions 1 to 518 of the family's 1533-position model. The record is from RNAcentral.